AUUUCCUACGGGAGGCAGCAGUGGGGAAUAUUGCACAAUGGGCGGAAGCCUGAUGCAGCAACGCCGCGUGCGGGAUGACGGCCUUCGGGUUGUAAACCGCUUUCGCCUGUGACGAAGCGUGAGUGACGGUAUGGGUAAAGAAGCACCGGCUAACCACGUGCCAGCAGCCGCGGUGAUACGUAGGGUGCGAGCGUUGUCCGGAUUUAUUGGGCGUAAAGGGCUCGUAGGUGGUUGAUCGCGUCGGAAGUGUAAUCUUGGGGCUUAACCCUGAGCGUGCUUUCGAUACGGGUUGACUUGAGGAAGGUAGGGGAGAAUGGAAUUCCUGGUGGAGCGGUGGAAUGCGCAGAUAUCAGGAGGAACACCAGUGGCGAAGGCGGUUCUCUGGGCCUUUCCUGACGCUGAGGAGCGAAAGCGUGGGGAGCGAACAGGCUUAGAUACCCUGGUAGUCCACGCUAAACGGUGGGUACUAGGUGUGGGGUCCAUUCCACGGGUUCCGUGCCGUAGCUAACGCUUUAAGUACCCCGCCUGGGGAGUACGGCCGCAAGGCUAAAACUCAAAGGAAUUGACGGGGCCCCGCACAAGCGGCGGAGCAUGCGGAUUAUUCGAUGCAACGCGUAGAACCUACCUGGGUUUGACAUGGAUCGGGAGCGCCCAGAGAUGGGUGUGCCUCUUUUGGGGUUGGUUCACAGGUGGUGCAUGGCUGUCGUCAGCUCGUGUCGUGAGAUGUUGGGUUAAGUCCCGCAACGAGCGCAACCCUUGUUCACUGUUGCCAGCACGUUAUGGUGGGGACUCAGUGGAGACCGCCGGGGUCAACUCGGAGGAAGGUGGGGAUGACGUCAAGUCAUCAUGCCCCUUAUGUCCAGGGCUUCACGCAUGCUACAAUGGCUGGUACAGAGAGUGGCGAGCCUGUGAGGGUGAGCGAAUCUCGGAAAGCCGGUCUCAGUUCGGAUUGGGGUCUGCAACUCGACCUCAUGAAGUCGGAGUCGCUAGUAAUCGCAGAUCAGCAACGCUGCGGUGAAUACGUUCCCGGGCCUUGUAC
This 1039-nucleotide ribosomal RNA is filed under the name uncultured Propionibacterium sp. RNAcentral describes it as "bacterial SSU rRNA". It matches the Rfam family "Bacterial small subunit ribosomal RNA", at positions 334 to 1386 of the family's 1533-position model. Lineage: Bacteria; Bacillati; Actinomycetota; Actinomycetes; Propionibacteriales; Propionibacteriaceae. The record is from RNAcentral.